GGGGAAUUUUCCGCAAUGGGCGAAAGCCUGACGGAGCAAUGCCGCGUGGAGGAAGAAAGCCUGUGGGUCGUAAACUCCUUUUCUCAGAGAAGAAGUUCUGACGGUAUCUGAGGAAUAAGCAUCGGCUAACUCCGUGCCAGCAGCCGCGGUAAUACGGAGGAUGCAAGCGUUAUCCGGAAUCAUUGGGCGUAAAGCGUCCUGAGGUGGGUUGUCCAGUCUACUGUGAAAGCUCAGGGCUUAACCUUGAAAAUGCGGUAGAAACUAGCAAGCUAGAGUACAGUAGGGGCAGAGGGAAUUCCCGGUGUAGCGGUGAAAUGCAUAGAUAUCGGGAAGAACACCAAUGGCGAAAGCACUCUGCUGGGCUGAUACUGACACUGAAAGACGAAAGCUAGGGGAGCAAAAGGGAUUAGAUACCCCAGUAGUC
This 424-nucleotide ribosomal RNA is filed under the name uncultured cyanobacterium. RNAcentral's name for it is "bacterial SSU rRNA". It matches the Rfam family "Bacterial small subunit ribosomal RNA", at positions 356 to 795 of the family's 1533-position model. Lineage: Bacteria; Bacillati; Cyanobacteriota. The record is from RNAcentral.